UUUACUACAAUAGUUUCAAUCCAAGCUUCCAUGAAACCAUUUUAGAAGAAACCAUAUUGAAGCACUCCAUCAAUAUAAUUAAAGCUUCCGUGAAGUGAAUGUAAUCUGCAAAAUGGGAAAUAAGUAAGUUAGAAGAAGAAGACUAGAUGACGAGGAGAAGAAAUAAGUAAGUUUCAUAUCCAUUUACCUCCAAAAAGACAUACUUAGCUAAUUUAGCUCCAAGAAGAGGAGAAGAGGAGAAAUUAAAAGAAGGAAAAA
This 258-nucleotide long non-coding RNA is filed under the name Hordeum vulgare. Its description in RNAcentral is "long non-coding RNA (HVUL_LNC003911)". The record is from RNAcentral. Lineage: Eukaryota; Viridiplantae; Streptophyta; Magnoliopsida; Poales; Poaceae.